UACGUAGGGUGCGAGCGUUGUCCGGAAUUACUGGGCGUAAAGGGCGCGUAGGCGGCCAGCACAAGUCAGUUGUGAAAUCUCCGGGCUUAACUCGGAAAGGUCAACUGAUACUGUGCGGCUAGAGUGCAGAAGGGGCAACUGGAAUUCUCGGUGUAGCGGUGAAAUACGUAGAUAUCUGGAGGAAUACCGGUGGCGAAGGCGGCUAUCUGGCCCAACAUUGACGCUGAGACCCGAAAGCAUGGGGAUCAAACAGG
This 254-nucleotide ribosomal RNA is filed under the name uncultured bacterium. RNAcentral's name for it is "partial 16S ribosomal RNA". It matches the Rfam family "Bacterial small subunit ribosomal RNA", at positions 524 to 776 of the family's 1533-position model. The record is from RNAcentral.